CGUAAACAAUCUAAGAACCUGUUUGGUACAGCUUCAACUCCUGAAUUUAGCUCCAUGAGUUGAGUCUGGAGUGGAGUUGUGGAGCUGCCUAAACCCAGCUCCACAACUCUAGUACAUUUUGUGAGAGAGCUCCACCCAACUCCACUCCUAGUUUUCGUAGAGCUAAAACUGUUUGGCUGAGCUCCAGCUCCAGGAGGGGCGGAGCUGAAGCUAGAGCUGUGCCAAACAGACCCUAAGAGCCUGUUUGGCAUAGCUCCAGCUCCACCUCUCUGCAGCCAAACAGUUUCAGCUCCACCUAAAAUAAGAGUGGAGUUGGGUGGCUCUCUCACAAAAUGAACUAGAGUUGUGGAGUUGGAUUUAGGCAGCUCUACAACCCCACUCUAGACCCAACUCCUGGAGCUAAAUUUAGGAAUUGGAGCUCUACCAAAUAGACCAUUAGCGUUUAAA
This 447-nucleotide unclassified non-coding RNA is filed under the name Oryza sativa (Asian cultivated rice). Its description in RNAcentral is "partial microRNA MIR452c precursor". Lineage: Eukaryota; Viridiplantae; Streptophyta; Magnoliopsida; Poales; Poaceae. The record is from RNAcentral.